RNAcentral lists this ribosomal RNA (135 nucleotides) under Sphenodon punctatus (tuatara). Its description in RNAcentral is "5.8S ribosomal RNA (ENSSPUG00000001682.1)". It matches the Rfam family "5.8S ribosomal RNA". Rfam says of the family: 5.8S ribosomal RNA (5.8S rRNA) is a component of the large subunit of the eukaryotic ribosome. It is transcribed by RNA polymerase I as part of the 45S precursor that also contains 18S and 28S rRNA. The record is from Rfam by way of RNAcentral. Lineage: Eukaryota; Metazoa; Chordata; Lepidosauria; Sphenodontia; Sphenodontidae.
GAUUCUGGGCAGUGGAUUACUUGGCUUAUGUAUCUGCUAAGAAAGCAGCUAGCUGUAGUAGUUAUUGUGAAAGGCAGGACACAUUGAUCCCUGACAGUUUGAACACACUUGUGGCCCAGGUUCAUUUCAGUGUGG